GAUGAACGCUAGCUACAGGCUUAACACAUGCAAGUCGAGGGGAAACGGCAUUUAGUGCUUGCACCGAAUGGACGUCGACCGGCGCACGGGUGAGUAACGCGUAUCCAACCUUCCCAUAACUAAGGAAUAACCUGCCGAAAGGCAGACUAAUACCUUAUGUAAUCCUUUGAUGGCAUCAGAUAAGGAUAAAAGAUUUAUCGGUUAUGGAUGGGGAUGCGUCUGAUUAGCUUGUUGGCGGGGUAACGGCCCACCAAGGCAACGAUCAGUAGGGGUUCUGAGAGGAAGGUCCCCCACAUUGGAACUGAGACACGGUCCAAACUCCUACGGGAGGCAGCAGUGAGGAAUAUUGGUCAAUGGACGGAAGUCUGAACCAGCCAAGUAGCGUGCAGGAAGACGGCCCUAUGGGUUGUAAACUGCUUUUGUAUGGGGAUAAAGUCAAUCACGUGUGAUUGUUUGCAGGUACCAUACGAAUAAGGACCGGCUAAUUCCGUGCCAGCAGCCGCGGUAAUACGGAAGGUUCGGGCGUUAUCCGGAUUUAUUGGGUUUAAAGGGAGCGUAGGCCGGAGAUUAAGUGUGUUGUGAAAUGUAGACGCUCAACGUCUGACUUGCAGCGCAUACUGGUUUCCUUGAGUACGCACAACGUUGGCGGAAUUCGUCGUGUAGCGGUGAAAUGCUUAGAUAUGACGAAGAACUCCGAUUGCGAAGGCAGCUGACGGGAGCGCAACUGACGCUGAAGCUCGAAGGUGCGGGUAUCGAACAGG
Molecule: ribosomal RNA, 761 nt
Filed under: Prevotella melaninogenica
Lineage: Bacteria; Pseudomonadati; Bacteroidota; Bacteroidia; Bacteroidales; Prevotellaceae
Description: bacterial SSU rRNA
Rfam family: Bacterial small subunit ribosomal RNA
Source: RNAcentral